Molecule: ribosomal RNA, 439 nt
Filed under: uncultured marine bacterium
Lineage: Bacteria
Description: bacterial SSU rRNA
Rfam family: Bacterial small subunit ribosomal RNA
Source: RNAcentral
AGAGUUUGAUCAUGGCUCAGAUUGAACGCUGGCGGCAGGCUUAACACAUGCAAGUCGAACGGUAACAGAACUAGCUUGCUAGUUGCUGACGAGUGGCGGACGGGUGAGUAACGCGUAGGAAUCUACCGAAUAGUGGGGGACAACAGUUGGAAACGGCUGCUAAUACCGCAUACGCCCUACGGGGGAAAGGAGGGGAUCUCCGGACCUUUCGCUAUGUGAUGAGCCUGCGUGAGAUUAGUUAGUUGGUGGGGUAAUGGCUCACCAAGGCGACGAUCUCUAGCUGGUCUGAGAGGAUGAUCAGCCACACUGGGACUGAGACACGGCCCAGACUCCUACGGGAGGCAGCAGUGGGGAAUAUUGCACAAUGGGGGAAACCCUGAUGCAGCCAUGCCGCGUGUGUGAAGAAGGCCUUCGGGUUGUAAAGCACUUUCAGUUGUGA